Molecule: unclassified non-coding RNA, 590 nt
Filed under: Hevea brasiliensis (rubber tree)
Lineage: Eukaryota; Viridiplantae; Streptophyta; Magnoliopsida; Malpighiales; Euphorbiaceae
Source: RNAcentral
AGUUUCUGAGGCAUAGUUAGAAGAUGUUUGAUACACAGUUUUGCUCUGGCGAAGAUGGUAGAAACUUCUAUGAGAAGUUCGCAAAGUCUUUUUCGUUUUUCUUCAGAAAAUUGACAUAAAUGUAAAUGAAACAAAGAUGAAUUGCAGGUCAAAGCCAAUAAGGUGGCAGGCCUCUCAUGUCACUUCUAGAUUUCCGAUGUCACAAGGAAACAUGAGUUUCUUCUCAAAGGGAACAACCCCGAGACAGUGAUCAAGAAGUUACUACGUAUUGUAGAUUUCAUGAACCUUUUCCUGUUUGUUCCAAGUGUAAAAUAUAUAGGUUCAUUGGAAACAUCUGCAAGACAAUGUUAAGGAAAAAUUGUAAACUUCUGGGGAAAUAGAUUACAUCUUCAUACGAAUUUAGCUUCUUGAGAUUUUAUGGUUGACUUGAUAAAAGUGAAGAAAAAUUACUGUUAAAAUUAGCUAUCAUUCUCCUUUCUGUCAACUAUAAUUUACAAUCAACAAUAGUUAAGAUGAGAGUUCUGGUGGGCUUUCUGUAUUUCAGACCUUUUUCUUCGAUGCCUCAUCAGAAGGUCUUGAACGCGGCCCCG